UUCGAUUGUAAAUCGUAAAAUUCGUUUUAUAUAGGUGAUAAACCCUCUGUUUGAGCAUUAAGAUCCUCGUUUAUUAUUUAAAAUUUCCGUUCAUAUUAUCUUCUUGGAAUAAUCCAAAUCCUUCAAAAACUCUUUCAUUCUUUGAUCGCUAUUUGAGGUUCGUCGAAAUUAUUGUUCUAAAUCCAUUUGUGCCCCAUCCCGACCUAGUUGCAUAUAAUUAUAUUAUCUUUGUAUGUUCAUUUUAGUUAGCUUAUAGAGAAUCGCGUGUCUCUAUUUUUAGGUCCCGACGAUUGAAUUUCUGCACAUUUUCGACUGGAUAGUUUUUAUCUUUGAAGCUACGUUAAGGUAAGCGACCGAACACCCGUUAGUUUUUGUAAGAUAAUUUAGGAAAAUAUUUUGAUUGUACGAAAAUCUUAUUUUGUAGAAUUUAAAAUUAAAGGUUAAGCAUAUUAUUAAAUAUCUCUGUAUAUUGAGUUUCAAUCGUGAUUGACAAGUUCGUUUAGCAAAAAAAGAAUUUUUGAAAUCUGAUAAUUUAUUCUGCAAAUUAGUGACUGGAUAUAUUUUGAUUUAUGAUGUCUCUUGGUAUUCUGCUAUGCAAUGUUGGCCAUGUCGACAUGUACUUUGUUAUAGAAGCAAGCUUCAUCUUUGUUUGCGCCUUCGGGUGCCUGCGCCUAUCCGCGCCUCUGUUUUGUUUGCGCCUUCGGGUGCCUGCGCCUAUCCGCGCCUCUGUUUUGUUUGCGCCUUCGGGUGCCUCUGUUUUGUUUACGCCUUCGGGUGUCUUUGGAUCUCGCCAACGGAUCAUAAGAUAUAGUUAAGUGCCGGAGACAAUAAUUAUUUUGUUUAUAUGUCGAAAGGGAAAUGCUUUGAAAAAAAUUAUAGUUUCAAUCCGAUCUGAAUUUAAAGUUUUGAUAAAUUCUUGUUUUCUUAAAUUUUGCAAAUUAAAACCAGUCGCUUGAAUUAAUUUGUGUAUCUAAUUAUUUGUAUGCUUAAUCCGACUAAUGUGGUGUAUGGUUGCUUAUCCAGAAAAAUUGCAACGACCCGACCCGCUAGCAAUAAUAACUCGUUGGGCCAAACCACCGGCCCAAAAUGCUUAAGCCCAGUUAUUAUUACUAGUGUCCAAGUCUCUUAUAACCCAAUGACAACCCCAUUCCCAUCCGAUGUGGGACUAUUGGGGUGUCACAGACUCCCCCCGUUAAGGCCCUGACGUCCUCGUCAGUCCAAUCACACACAGCCCAAGAUCACCAGGCGAUGUGAGACUCGUCUCGCUAGCCCGUCAUCCAGACCCUGGCUCAGCCGAGACUCGCCACACAUGUCCAGCUGGUGAACCUGUCUCUGAUACCAAUUGUAACGACCCGACCCGCUAGCAACAAUAACUCGUUGGGCCCAAACCACCGGCCCAAAAUGCUUAAGCCCAGUUAUUAUUACUAGCGUGUAGGUCUCAUAUAAACUGAUCGGAAUCAGUAUCCCAUCCGAUGUGGGACUAUUGGGGGCG
This 1492-nucleotide long non-coding RNA is filed under the name Ananas comosus (pineapple). RNAcentral's name for it is "long non-coding RNA (ACOM_LNC038410)". Lineage: Eukaryota; Viridiplantae; Streptophyta; Magnoliopsida; Poales; Bromeliaceae. The record is from RNAcentral.